Molecule: ribosomal RNA, 503 nt
Filed under: uncultured bacterium
Lineage: Bacteria
Description: partial 16S ribosomal RNA
Rfam family: Bacterial small subunit ribosomal RNA
Source: RNAcentral
AGCGAACGCUGGCGGCAGGCUUAACACAUGCAAGUCGAGCGGGGUGAUGGUGCUUGCACUAUCACUUAGCGGCGGACGGGUGAGUAAUGCUUAGGAAUCUGCCUAUUAGUGGGGGACAACAUCUCGGAAGGGAUGCUAAUACCGCAUACGUCCUACGGGAGAAAGCAGGGGAUCACUUGUGACCUUGCGCUAAUAGAUGAGCCUAAGUCGGAUUAGCUAGUUGGUGGGGUAAAGGCCUACCAAGGCGACGAUCUGUAGCGGGUCUGAGAGGAUGACCCGCCACACUGGGACUGAGACACGGCCCAGACUCCUACGGGAGGCAGCAGUGGGGAAUAUUGGACAAUGGGGGGAACCCUGAUCCAGCCAUGCCGCGUGUGUGAAGAAGGCCUUAUGGUUGUAAAGCACUUUAAGCGAGGAGGAGGCUCUUUUGGUUAAUACCCAAGAUGAGUGGACGUUACUCGCAGAAUAAGCACCGGCUAACUCUGUGCCAGCAGCCGCCGUAA